This is an RNA transcript of Nycticebus coucang (slow loris), 980 nucleotides long. It is a transcript of the gene named tetraspanin-6-like, with no coding region annotated. The transcript has a single exon. The record is from RefSeq and is a predicted model, not a curated record. NCBI's taxonomy places the organism in Eukaryota, Metazoa, Chordata, Mammalia, Primates, Lorisidae.
CCAUCGCCCGGUGCGGUGGUGCAGGGUCUCCAGCUAGUUAUGGCGUCCCCGUCUCGGAGACUGCAGACUAAACCAGUUAGCACUUGUUCCAAGAGCGUCCUCCUGAUUUACACUUUCAUCUUUUGGAUCACUGGUGUUGUCCUCCUUGCCGUUGGCAUUUGGGGCAAGGUGAGCCUAGAGAAUUAUUUUUCUCUUUUAAACGAGAAGGCCACCAAUGUCCCCUCACACUCAUUGGCACUGCCACUGUCAUUAUUCUUUGGGGCACCUUCGGUUGUUUUGCUACUUGCUGAGCGGCUGCCUGGAUGCUAAAACUGUAUGCAAUAUUUCGGACUCUCAUGUUUUUGGUCGAACUGGUCGCUGCCAUUGUAGGAUUUGUAUUCAGACAUGAGAUUAAGAACAGCUUUAAGAAUAAUUAUGUGCAGGCUUUCAAACAAUAGAACUCUACAAGAGAUUAUAAAAGCGAUACAGUAGACGAGAUACAGAACACGUUGCGUUGUUGUGGUGUCACUGAUUAUAGAGAUUGGACAGAUACAAAUUAUUACUCAGAAAAAGGAUUUCCCAAAAGUUGUUGUAAAUGUGAAGAUUGUUCUCCACAGAGAGACGCCGAUAAAGUGAACAAUGAGGGUCAUUUUAUAAAGGUGAUGACCAUUAUAGAGUCAGAAAUGGGAGUUGUUGCAAGAAUUUCCUUUGGAGUUGCUUGCUUUCAGCUUAUUGGAAUCUUUCUAGCCUACUGCCUCUCUCAUGCCAUAACAAAUAACCAGUAUGAGAUAGUGUAAUCAGUGUAUCUGCGAUUUACUCCUCUCCAACUUUAAGGAUACUUAAAGUAGCCCCCCGUGAAUUAUAAGAUUGCCUGGACGGAAGACUGACAACUCUACUUACCUAAGUAGACUUCAGAACUACACCAGUAGGCUUAUUCGAUCAAGAUACUUGUUCAAUAUGUCCUAAGUCCACCUUCUGUCCCGUUCAUCUUAGAUUGUCCC